RNAcentral lists this long non-coding RNA (1256 nucleotides) under Homo sapiens (human). Its description in RNAcentral is "long independently transcribed non-coding RNA 1089, transcript variant 2 (LINC01089)". Lineage: Eukaryota; Metazoa; Chordata; Mammalia; Primates; Hominidae. The record is from RNAcentral.
CAUCAGACACGAAGGAGAGGCCAACAGAUGAGGGAAGCCAUUUUUCUGCAAUGGAAUUAAAUGGCCAAAGCAGUAAACAGUCCUCAGCGAAGCCGCCUUUUUGCCUACCCAACCCUGGAAAGUUUGCAGAAGUGGAAGGAGCAGAACGUGAGGGUGUAACUUACAAAAAGGUUCUGGGCCGGAGAAGGGGCGACGUUCGGGCACCCCCCGAAUGGACAAUCUUUCCUUCUGUCAACGGCAGGGGCAGGCCUAGUUUGACUCUGACAGUCCUCCCACUAAGGAAUUCCUGGUGACUGGAAGGGGGAGUGACUCAGGCCCUCAACCUCUAGCAGGUAAGGGAGCUACCUCCUGGGUGGGCAUGCCCAGUUCCUCAGUGGGCCCAGCGCGGCCCAGCCUCCGAGGAAGCUCUGAGCAGCUGGCUUGGCUCCGAGGUAUUUUUAGCUACAGAUCCAGCCCCCCUCCAUCACCACAACAGUCGAGUCCAAAUCAAACGCGCUCCAGGCAGGUGGGGCUGGGGUUCUGCCAGCCUCCUGGCCAGCAGGGGUGGGUGGGCAGACUGGGGCCAGUAUCAGCUGUUCUGCCUGGACCCAGGCCGGGCUGGGAAGGCACACUUGUGCUUAUUUCCCGCCUCCACUUCUGUGCAAGCUUGUGCUGUCAUAAGCAGAGAUCACAGCCCCAUUUCUUGGAUGGAGAAAGUGGACACUGAGGUCUGAGGCUUUUGAGGACAGUCAGGAGCCCUCCUAUGGGCUCCAGUGAUGCACUCACCAGCUUCUGGUCCUCUUCUUCCACCUCUUAGAGUGCCUUGGCUCCCUCCUGUCGUCCUGGGGAACCUCGGCCCCAGCCCUGCCUCCCCAGCCAGUCACAGCUCCUCCCUGGUCACCCUGAGGGAGCUCAGGGCCCGGCUGGUAGCUGGGUUGCUCUGCUUCUGUCCCCCACUCCUGUGGAGCCUGGCAGGCAACUCCAUGAUCUGACCCCGGUUACCUUGACAGCCCUGCCUGGCCUCCCCUCUCAUGGCCCAGCCACCCCAGAACCUGAAGAGGUUUUCUAGCUGCCGUGCAUUUGCCAGGCUGGGUUACCCACCCUACUUUCCCUGCCUGCCCUCCAGUGCUGCCAGGCCUAGUGUGCCAGCCAGCGCUCAGCCUUCAGUAAAGGGUUCCCCUGCUUCCAACCUCCAUUGCACUGCUUCCCCUAAGACUGUGACCUCCUGGAAGGCUGGAGCACAACUGCCUCUCAAUAAACGUGUUGCAAAAAAGGAA